UUCCCCUAGUAACUGCGAGUGAACCGGGAAAAGCCGGUCUCCGGCCGCCCGAGUUGUAAUCUAGAGAAGCGUCUUCCGCGCUGGACCGUGUACAAGUCUCCUGGAAGGGAGCAUCGUAGAGGGUGACAAUCCCGUCUCCGACACGGACUACCAGGGCUAUGUGAUGCGCUCUCGACGAGUCGAGUUGUUUGGGAAUGCAGCUCAAAUCGGGUGGUAAACUCCAUCUAAAGCUAAAUACAGGCGAGAGACCGAUAGCGAACAAGUACCGUGAGGGAAAGAUGAAAAGAACUUUGGAAAGAGAGUUAAACAGUACGUGAAAUUGCUGGAAGGGAAACGCUUGAAGUCAGUCGCGUCGGCCGGGGAUCAACCCUGCUCCAUGCUGGGCGUAUUUCCCGGUCCGACGGGUCAGCAUCGAUUUCGAUCGUCGUAGAAGGGCGGUAGCGAACGUGGCACUCUUCGGAGUGUGUUAUAGCCUUCCGUAUGCUAUGCGACGGUCGGGAUCGAGGAACUCGGCACGACCCCUCGAGGGUUCGGGGCUUUUCAAAGCCCACGCAGCGUGUCUAGGAUGUUGGCAAUAAUGUCUUUAA
This 587-nucleotide ribosomal RNA is filed under the name Astraeus macedonicus (nom. inval.). Its description in RNAcentral is "Astraeus sp. MPM-2019a partial large subunit ribosomal RNA". It matches the Rfam family "Eukaryotic large subunit ribosomal RNA", at positions 75 to 643 of the family's 3401-position model. Lineage: Eukaryota; Fungi; Basidiomycota; Agaricomycetes; Boletales; Astraeaceae. The record is from RNAcentral.